Molecule: ribosomal RNA, 489 nt
Filed under: uncultured Sphingobacteriales bacterium
Lineage: Bacteria; Pseudomonadati; Bacteroidota; Sphingobacteriia; Sphingobacteriales
Description: bacterial SSU rRNA
Rfam family: Bacterial small subunit ribosomal RNA
Source: RNAcentral
CAGAAACUCGAAAGGAAGUGACGGGGGCCCGCACAAGCGGAGGAGCAUGUGGUUUAAUUCGAUGAUACGCGAGGAACCUUACCUGGGCUCGAACGUAAGAUGACUGUAGGUGAAAGCUUACAUCUCUUCGGAGCAUUUUACGAGGUGCUGCAUGGUUGUCGUCAGCUCGUGCCGUGAGGUGUCGGGUUAAGUCCCAUAACGAGCGCAACCCCUACCUUUAGUUGCCAUCAGGUAAUGCUGGGGACUCUAAAGGAACUGCCUACGCAAGUAGUGAGGAAGGCGGGGAUGACGUCAAAUCAGCACGGCCCUUACGUCCAGGGCUACACACGUGCUACAAUGGCCGAUACAGAGGGCAGCUACCUGGUGACAGGAUGCAAAUCUCCAAAGUCGGUCUCAGUUCGGAUCGGAGUCUGCAACCCGACUCCGUGAAGUUGGAUUCGCUAGUAAUCGCGCAUCAGCCAUGGCGCGGUGAAUACGUUCCCGGGCCUU